GAGCUCUUAGUAUAAUUAAGUAUAGUAUAUUGCAGAUUUAUUGGUUUAUGGGUUCU
Molecule: transfer RNA, 56 nt
Filed under: Aspiculuris tetraptera
Lineage: Eukaryota; Metazoa; Nematoda; Chromadorea; Rhabditida; Heteroxynematidae
Description: tRNA-Cys
Source: RNAcentral